UUUUCUUACCCUAGUCGCCUUGCUUUUAGACCGCUGCUAGGCCACUGUCCGGCCUCCUCCUGUGAGCUCUUCGACCAACUAAGACUCCAGAGGACUUAGUUAACGAUGACCCCAAAGCCCUCUGGUGAGCUCUCUCGAGUCUAACUCCCGUUUUCAUAUUUUGGUUAAUGGGUUAGUAGCUUUAACCAAUUUUAGUUGUGGGGGUUUAGCAAAGAUUUAUAGAAUAUUUUCUUCAGAGAUUUAGUUGGAAAUUUGUCUCGUUCUAGUCGCUGGUGUUGUCGGUUUUAAAGGUCGUCUCUUUCACCUUUUUCAUUCUUCCUUGCUUCUCUGUUCUCUCUCUUUUCUUUUUUUUUUUACUUCUUUGCUUGGUAGGUCCUUGUCAUUUUGGCUAAUGGAGUAGAUUCUCUUCUUUUUUUUUUUUUAAUAUUGGUUGUUGUUUGAUUCUUAUUGGGUUUGAUAGAUUUGGUAUUUGGAUUUGAUUUCUGGUAAUGGGGGAAUUUGAAUCAUUCAUUGGGUUGAUGUGGUGAGAAUGAUGAAACAUAGUAGAUGGUGGUGGUGAUUUUAGGGUGAAGGUUUCACUUUCACUCUUAGACUUCCUUCAAGCUUCAGUGUGAAUCAUUGAUGAAGCUGCUUUCGGCAAAAACUUCAACAUCUUGUUUUUGGGUUUCAUCUGUUUCUCCAUUAUUGUUUGUAAAAAAAAAUAUCAUUUUUUUUCCAACUUUCUUUCUAAUAUUUUGUUUCAUUAGCCCGAUUAUAGGUUCCUUUCCAUUGUUUUUCCAAAAAAUGUUACUUUUCUACUAGUAAUUAAUUUUCCAGUAAACACAGAGGUAAGAAAGUUUUUCUCAGUUUUAUGUAUUAUUUUAAAUAAUUAUCCAAAUUUCAAUUUCAAUUGGGUUUUGUUUUC
Molecule: long non-coding RNA, 904 nt
Filed under: Gossypium raimondii (Peruvian cotton)
Lineage: Eukaryota; Viridiplantae; Streptophyta; Magnoliopsida; Malvales; Malvaceae
Description: long non-coding RNA (GRAI_LNC008946)
Source: RNAcentral